UAGGCUGCCUGUCUUGUCAAUUAAUUCAGUAUUAAAAUAAGGAAUCGACCCUUUUCUUUCAAUAUUAAAAAAAAAAAAAAAAGCGGUUUAGAAUUGAUCCUGUUACUAAGCGCACAAUACAGACAGACGCCCCCGGGGAACGUCACACCUGGAAGAGAAGACGGGUUAACAUGCCGCGUCCCCAGCAGCCCACAAGUGGACUCCGUUUAAGAGGCGACAGAGGUCAGCUGUCGCCUCCCACUGCUAAAGAGAUGUUGGGGGACUGAGAAUUCACUCUUCGAGCCCAGCCCUUUGGCUUCCCCAGGUAUGCCUGCUCCGCCAACUCAGCCCGCGCUUCCUCAACGGUCUCCCCCCACUCCCGAAGUCACGCCAGCUGGGGUCCAGCUCAGCAAGACCCCAAACUGCAGGUCCCCAGACUUCUCGGUUGUCACGGAGACGGAUCCCGCCCCUCCCACCCAGCCUCAGGGUCCCCCAGCGGGGCUGAGCCCCCCCAGCCCCCACUCACCCUGCGCCGUAGGCGGACACAGCAGCAGCAGCAGCGGCAGCAGCAGCAGCGGCGGCGGGGCGCUGAGCCCGCCGAGGAGGGACAUGGCGCGCGGGGACCGGGACCGGAGUUAAGUGGAAGCUCGCUCCAGCAAGCAGCCGGUGGGGCCUGCGAAGAGCUCCCAUCUGGACGUGUAAAUAUCUGCUUUCCAAGUAAACAGAACGCUGGGGGGAACCGAGGAGAGGGGCGUGGCUCAAGUGGGAAGGGCUUUGCUGCCCGGAAAUCUGCAUUAGGUUGAGAGGUCAACGUUCAGCAGUCCCCAGUAAAGUGGCCUAAUAUGACAGAUGACAUUUUCAUCUGCCCUGCCCUGGGCUUCCCGUUGACCAACGGAAGUGUAAUGCCUGACUCACGUAAGGAGAGUUCAUCUCACCCAGCUGUUUGGUGAUCCGGUAUCCUGGAGUAAAAACAACUAAAGGGAACACAGGUGUGCAGAGCCCUGAGGAGAGCUUUUGAAAGGGAUCGUCAUAUAAAUGUUGAGCCUUGGGAAAUGAAGUCAUGCAAAAUGGAACAAGAAUUUAUCAAGAAUUUCUCAGCAUUGUCAGCCGCUAGGCUGUUCCCAUGGUUACUGUAUUGGUUCUUUGUGAACUUCCCAGAUCUUCCCUUUCCAUGGAUGUUAGAAGAGCAAGAUACUUGGGAACUAUGACAUUUUUUCUUAACCAUUUCUUCCUUUUUUUGUAUGUCUUAUAAUAAUUUAUCACAUUAUGGUUGAUGACACUUCAUCAUGAAUAUCACAUAUGAUUUAGAAGUUUUUUUCUCUUUUUGUCACAUUCAAAGUGGCAGCAUUGAUGUUCUCCUUUCUGUUCUGGUUUGGUGAGUUCCUAAAGGACUUGUGUAAAAACAUAGUGGCCUAAAGGAAAUAAAAUAACUCAACAGAGCUAUGCAAGAUCAUUUUGUUUAACAUGACGAGUGCUACCGUAUCAAGCAAUUCCAUGAAUAGUAUCACUUUGAUGUAAACUCUUGUUUUGCCUUGUGCAAUUAUUUAUUAGAUGUUUGUUGGCUGAAGAGUUACGGUUUCCCUCAAGUUGUCCUCAUAAUGCACUGUCAAUAUUUAAUAUGAAUGCUCAAAUGAUUUCCCUAUUUAUUUAAAUAUUUAAAUAUUUUUUGUACAUACACUCAAUAGGUUUAACAGUGAUUUGUCACAGUAAUACAUAUAAGGGAUAUUUGUAAUAAUUCAUGUGUAGUAUAUAUCCUUCAACUGACUGAUGGAAUCCUGGUAUAAAGCACAUAAGGAGACUUUUCACUGAGUUGCAUUUAGAAUACCUGCUCUCCAUAUUUAAAAGAGAAGGUUCAGUAGGGACUAUACAUUUCAAUGACAUUCUUUUUAUACAUUACCAUCACUGUGACUCAGAUUAGAUGUGAUUAGAUAUGGCCUUGAAGGAUGCCAGAAAUCACCGGUGUAAGACGCAUAAAGAUAUGUGGCCUCCACAGGACAAAGCUGAAUUGCAAAUUGUCAAAUACAGAGGCUACUAGGUGCAUCUCUGGUCUCUGUACUAUGAAAAUGGCAUUAUGGGGCUGGAGGGGGGUUGCUCUAUCGGUGAUCGAAUGUGAUCAUUUUUCUGAGAUGCAUGGGCAGGGUAGGUACAAGCAUUCUUGGUCCAUGUGCAUUGUCACUGGUAGUGAUGAAAUUGAAGGAUGUCAGUUGUAGGCACAUCACCAGAGAUCCACUUCGCCCGGCUAGGCAUUUUGGAAGUGCAACCUGAAUGCUUGGUUUAUCAAUUAACAGGUUCUAGGUAAGCAGUCAUGUGCCCAAGGGCUGUUCAGAACCACCUGUGACAUCUGGGAGCAGAAUGUUAGAUUCCUACUAAUUUCUUGCACUUUCCCCUUUCGUCAGGAUGCUGAAAGUACCAUCUCUUCAGGGCGCCUGGGUGGCUCAGUGGGUUAAAGCCUCUGCCUGUGGCUCGGGUCAUGAUCUGAGGGUCCUGGGAUCGAGCCCUGCAUCAGGCUCUCUCCUCUGCAGGGAGCCUGCUUCCUCCUCUCUCUCUCUGCCUGC
This is a long non-coding RNA of Mustela lutreola (European mink), 2534 nucleotides long. RefSeq lists it as uncharacterized. NCBI's taxonomy places the organism in Eukaryota, Metazoa, Chordata, Mammalia, Carnivora, Mustelidae. The record is from RefSeq and is a predicted model, not a curated record. The transcript is spliced from 7 exons.